RNAcentral lists this ribosomal RNA (454 nucleotides) under uncultured bacterium. Its description in RNAcentral is "bacterial SSU rRNA". It matches the Rfam family "Bacterial small subunit ribosomal RNA", at positions 8 to 507 of the family's 1533-position model. The record is from RNAcentral.
AGAGUUUGAUCAGUGGCUCAAGAACGAACGCUGGCGGCAUGCCUAACACAUGCAAGUCGAACGAACCUUCGGGGUUAGUGGCGCACGGGUGCGUAACACGUGGGAAUCUGCCCUUUGCUUCGGAAUAACAGUUAGAAAUGACUGCUAAUACCGGAUGAUGUCGUAAGACCAAAGAUUUAUCGGCAAAGGAUGAGCCCGCGUAGGAUUAGGUAGUUGGUGGGGUAAAGGCCUACCAAGCCGACGAUCCUUAGCUGGUCUGAGAGGAUGAUCAGCCACACUGGGACUGAGACACGGCCCAGACUCCUACGGGAGGCAGCAGUGGGGAAUAUUGGACAAUGGGCGAAAGCCUGAUCCAGCAAUGCCGCGUGAGUGAUGAAGGCCUUCGGGUUGUAAAGCUCUUUUACCAGGGAUGAUAAUGACAGUACCUGGAGAAUAAGCUCCGGCUAACUCCGUG